This 358-nucleotide unclassified non-coding RNA is filed under the name Ascomycota sp. Its description in RNAcentral is "partial contains small subunit ribosomal RNA, internal transcribed spacer 1, and 5.8S ribosomal RNA". The stretch from base 1 to 47 matches the Rfam family "Eukaryotic small subunit ribosomal RNA", at positions 1785 to 1831 of the family's 1831-position model. The record is from RNAcentral. Lineage: Eukaryota; Fungi; Ascomycota.
AAAGUCGUAACAAGGUUUCCGUAGGUGAACCUGCGGAAGGAUCAUUACUGAGUGGCUGGCGAAGCGCCUGUGCGCGAGAGCGUGCGGGGGUGGAGCGGUUACCCGACCUUUUGUCAUGUGGGCUGGCGGUUGUCCUCGUUUGGGGACGAGCGCGAGCAUGUUCAGGUUCGGCGGAGGAGGUGGGCGCUGGUUGCCGUCGAUGGAUUGGCCGAUUGCGAGAUCGGGCGAUUUGGAUGGACGGAGGAAGGCGACCUGCCCGCCGCCGGCGGCAUUCCCAACUCUUGUUUGUAGCAGAAUGAAGUCUGACGAGACGACGAAACGAAAAGCAAAACUUUCAACAACGGAUCUCUUGGCUCUG